UCCCUGGUAGUAUAUGGGUUAAUACACGCGCCAUGUUGGUAGAGUCAUAGGCGCGACAACUGGGUUCGAUUCCCAGCCGGGAAG
Non-coding RNA from Paramarasmius palmivorus, 84 nucleotides. NCBI's taxonomy places the organism in Eukaryota, Fungi, Basidiomycota, Agaricomycetes, Agaricales, Marasmiaceae. The record is from the annotation of a GenBank genome assembly.